Molecule: long non-coding RNA, 1731 nt
Organism: Xenopus laevis (African clawed frog)
Lineage: Eukaryota; Metazoa; Chordata; Amphibia; Anura; Pipidae
Exons: 2
Source: RefSeq, a predicted model, not a curated record
AAGGCCUGGUAGAACGCCGUGGUGUUUGCGUUUCACGCCUCGUUCUUGUGUUGACCUUUCAGGGAAGUCUGCACAACUAAUCCGUGUCUAUUUUGAGCACGCGAGUUCUACGCAUGCGCAGUGAACUGACUUGUGAUAGAAGCGUGUUGAUAAGGCUGAAUUAUUUUGGAGUGUUUUGGUUCUCUGAGGUUUCGCACAGGUUAAUAUAUAAGUAUAUGAUGCUUGUGGUUUAGUACGUGAUGCUUUACAGGAAAACUUUCCCAACGCCUUGGAGCUGGAGAGCAAAUACCGUCCAUCUUUCCUAUUGUCAUUUUACUGUAGCUUGUAAAAGAAACAAUAUGUUGAAGUCAAAAACGUUCAUUAAGAAAACCCAUUCUGGCGGUGUUUUAAAGAUCGUCUGAGAACUAUUACCUGUGGUUGCAAAGGAUGUGACUAGUUCCAACACGAGAAAGCAGUCCUGGACCUUGAGUUAAAGUCCCUCAGCAGGUCUGUUACCCGCAAAAACCUGUGGUACCCUGCAGGUUGUCGGUAGAAGUUCCGGGUGCGGGUAAAGACACAGGUCUGCGAAUUUGCGAAUCGGGCCACGGUUCUUCUCAAUACCAAUAUUUACUCCUUUUUUCUGGUCACGGCUACUUCCGAUGACGUCACUUCCAGUUUACAAUGACAGCACUUCCUGUUUACGCGGUUUUCCUGAUCACGUCUACUUCCAAUGAUGUCACUUCCGGUUUACAAUGACAGCACUUCCUGAUUCUUGAUGGUCAGCGGGUACGGGUCCCAAAAAAUGGACCCGCACAAACAACACUACUUGCUGCCAGACACCAAUGUAUUACUCCAUCAGGCAUGAGUAGCUGUGUACUGACAUUUUGUAAAACAAAGCACAAGUUGUGUUUUGUCCAUUUUAAAAGAAGCUUCAUAGCCCAUUAUUUUUUUUAAUGUAAUGUUUUGUUUACUUUUAUUUAUUUCAUGGGGAUUCAGCAGAGAACAAAGUGGUAAGUACUAGAAAGACAUUCAAAUCUAAGGCCCUUACAUUUGUUUAUGUCUAAUAGAGAGAGUCAAGAGAUGCAAAGUUAUGUAAAAAAAAAAAAACACUGCUGAAAAUUAAAUCAUCAAAGUGUUUUAAAGUAAUGAAAAAAUGACAGGUUAAAUAGUGUAUAACCGAUAACACCAUUAUGUUCUACAGAGCUUAUCUGCUAUGUAAACUGAGCCUUUCCUCUUUUGAAUCGCUGCCCCCAUUGCUACACAGCAGCUUAUUUAUAUGAACAAUAGUAAUGUUUCUGAAGCAAACACGGCAGUUUUACCAGUGCAGGGCAACACUGCAUUAUAUUUUUAUUACUUUAAAACACUUCAAUUUUUUGAUGUUACUAAUCCUAUAAGGUUGCACUAAACUGUUCAAUGGCUAACAUGAAACGCACAAGGCUUUCUAACAAGGUUUGGGAAUGUAUGAAAUUUUGUGAGUGGAUUUAGUAAAUUGCUGUACAAGUUUCUGAUAUAGAACAAUAAACAGAAAUAUUAUAAAAAAAAGUAACAUUUUAUUUUCAAAGAUUUUGUUUUUUUCUUUUGUUCAUUAAAAAUAACCACACAUUGUGUACUUUUUACAUGCCAAUUAAAGAUCCAUCAUUUAGCUGUCAUUAAAGUUUUGAACCUCCAGUUUCCAUCAUUUUCAGAACCUCUGCUUUUAUCAGGAACACACAAACCCAUAAUCAUCUAAGCAGCAAAACCCCAUUUGAAAAU